AAACCUUCAAGCUCUGCUUGGUGAUGGGUGCUGUCCGCAGGGACUCGCCUCAAAUGCAUUGGCAGCAGACUUCCAGCAGUUCUGUGCAGCACAUUGCGCGCCUCCUGGAGUCUGCGUCCAGCAAGCCUUCUUA
This 133-nucleotide unclassified non-coding RNA is filed under the name uncultured Dothideomycetes. RNAcentral's name for it is "sequence contains ITS2". Lineage: Eukaryota; Fungi; Ascomycota; Dothideomycetes. The record is from RNAcentral.